AUUCACUUUAUGAUUUUCUAUGAAAUCAUUAGGUCUGCCUUGAAUCACUGACUCAUUUUGUGCUAUCAAGAUGUAAACUCUCCAGCAACAGCAUCCUCCUAUGUGAGUAAGCGAGAUUUAAUUUUCCUGUGACAGCACAUGUGUACAAAGGCAGGUGCAGCUGAGGAGAAUCAUCCGCCCUCCAGAUAUGAAAAGUAAGCCCCAAGCCUCGAUGAAUAAAUAGGUUCUGGAGCCUACGCCUCCUAUCUUGCCGCUCAAGCAGUGACACAAUGG
This 273-nucleotide long non-coding RNA is filed under the name Oryctolagus cuniculus (rabbit). Its description in RNAcentral is "lncRNA (ENSOCUG00000033934.1)". Lineage: Eukaryota; Metazoa; Chordata; Mammalia; Lagomorpha; Leporidae. The record is from RNAcentral.